AGAGAAUCACUUGAGCCCAGGAGGUCAAGGCUGCAGUGAGCUGAGAUCACUCCACUGCACUCCAGCUUGGGUAACAAAA
This 79-nucleotide small nuclear RNA is filed under the name Homo sapiens (human). RNAcentral describes it as "partial ncRNA". Lineage: Eukaryota; Metazoa; Chordata; Mammalia; Primates; Hominidae. The record is from RNAcentral.